Molecule: transfer RNA, 73 nt
Filed under: Anguilla anguilla (European eel)
Lineage: Eukaryota; Metazoa; Chordata; Actinopteri; Anguilliformes; Anguillidae
Description: tRNA-OTHER
Source: RNAcentral
AUCACGGUGGCGCAGUGGGUUAGCACUGUCACCUUGCGAGAAGAAGGUUCCGGAUUCAAGUCCCGGCUGGCUG